AAGUAGGAAUCAAGGUCAAU
Molecule: microRNA, 20 nt
Filed under: Solanum tuberosum (potato)
Lineage: Eukaryota; Viridiplantae; Streptophyta; Magnoliopsida; Solanales; Solanaceae
Description: stu-miR8050-5p
Source: miRBase by way of RNAcentral